This 564-nucleotide ribosomal RNA is filed under the name uncultured bacterium. RNAcentral's name for it is "bacterial SSU rRNA". It matches the Rfam family "Bacterial small subunit ribosomal RNA", at positions 55 to 619 of the family's 1533-position model. The record is from RNAcentral.
AUGCAAGUCGAGCGAAGCACCUGUAAAUGAAUCUUCGGAUGAUUUUACUUGUGACUGAGCGGCGGACGGGUGAGUAACGCGUGGGUAACCUGCCUCAUACAGGGGGAUAACAGUUGGAAACGACUGCUAAUACCGCAUAAGCGCACGGUGUCGCAUGACACAGUGUGAAAAACUCCGGUGGUAUGAGAUGGACCCGCGUCUGAUUAGCAGGUUGGUGGGGUAACGGCCUACCAAGGCGACGAUCAGUAGCCGACCUGAGAGGGUGAUCGGCCACAUUGGGACUGAGACACGGCCCAAACUCCUACGGGAGGCAGCAGUGGGGAAUAUUGCACAAUGGGGGAAACCCUGAUGCAGCAACGCCGCGUGAGUGAAGAAGUAUUUCGGUAUGUAAAGCUCUAUCAGCAGGGAAGAAAAUGACGGUACCUGACUAAGAAGCCCCAGCUAACUACGUGCCAGCAGCCGCGGUAAUACGUAGGGGGCAAGCGUUAUCCGGAUUUACUGGGUGUAAAGGGAGCGUAGACGGCGAGACAAGUCUGAAGUGAAAGCCCGGGGCUCAACCCCGGG